RNAcentral lists this ribosomal RNA (253 nucleotides) under uncultured bacterium. RNAcentral describes it as "partial 16S ribosomal RNA". It matches the Rfam family "Bacterial small subunit ribosomal RNA", at positions 524 to 776 of the family's 1533-position model. The record is from RNAcentral.
UACGGAGGGGGCUAGCGUUGUUCGGAAUUACUGGGCGUAAAGCGCGCGUAGGCGGAUCUGCAAGUCGGGGGUGAAAUCCCGAGGCUCAACCUCGGAACUGCCUUCGAUACUGCGGGUCUCGAGUCCGGGAGAGGUGAGUGGAAUUCCUAGUUUAGAGGUGAAAUGCGCAGAUAUCAGGAAGAACACCAAUGGCGAAGGCAGCUCUCUGGGACGGUACUGACGCUGAGACGCGAAAGCGUGGGGAGCGAACAGG